Molecule: ribosomal RNA, 253 nt
Filed under: uncultured bacterium
Lineage: Bacteria
Description: partial 16S ribosomal RNA
Rfam family: Bacterial small subunit ribosomal RNA
Source: RNAcentral
UACGUAGGAUGCGAGCGUUGUUCGGAAUUACUGGGCGUAAAGAGUACGUAGGUGGUAUAUUAAGUCUGCUAUUAAAGACCGGAGCUUAACUCCGGGAAUGUAGCGGAAACUGAUAAACUAGAGGACAGUAGAGGAAGCCGGAAUUCUCAGUGUAGCGGUGAAAUGCGUAGAUAUUGGGAAGAACACCAGCGGCGAAAGCGGGCUUCUGGGCUGUUACUGACGCUGAGGUACGAAAGCGUGGGGAGCAAACGGG